This 406-nucleotide ribosomal RNA is filed under the name uncultured bacterium. RNAcentral describes it as "partial 16S ribosomal RNA". It matches the Rfam family "Bacterial small subunit ribosomal RNA", at positions 30 to 526 of the family's 1533-position model. The record is from RNAcentral.
AUUGAACGCUGGCGGCAGGCCUAACACAUGCAAGUCGAACGAGUGGCGGACGGGGGAGUAAUGUCUGGGAAACUUCCUGAUGGAGGGGGAUAACUACGGGAAACGGUAGCUAAUACCCCAUACCAUCAGAUGUGCCCCGAUGGGAUUGGCUUGUUUGGGGGGUAACGGCUCACCAAGGCGACGAUCCCUCUCUGGGCUGAGAGGAUGACCAGCAACACGGGAAAUGAGACACGGUCCAGACUCCUACGGGAGGCAGCAGUGGGGAAUAUUGCACAAUGGGCGCAAUCCUGAUGCAGCCAUGCCGCGUGUAUGAAGAAGGCCUUCGGGUUGUAAAGUACUUUCAGCGGGGAGGCGUUACCCGCAGAAGAAGCACCGGCUAACUCCGUGCCAGCCGCCGCGGUAAUUC